GAUGAACGCUGGCGGCGUGCUUAACACAUGCAAGUCGAACGGAAAGGCUCCUGCUUGCAGGGGUACUCGAGUGGCGAACGGGUGAGUAACACGUGGGUGAUCAGCCCUGCACUUCGGGAUAAGCCUGGGAAACUGGGUCUAAUACCGGAUAGGACGAUGGUUUGGAUGCCAUUGUGGAAAGUUUUUCGGUGUGGGAUGAGCUCGCGGCCUAUCAGCUUGUUGGUGGGGUAAUGGCCUACCAAGGCGUCGACGGGUAGCCGGCCUGAGAGGGUGUACGGCCACAUUGGGACUGAGAUACGGCCCAGACUCCUACGGGAGGCAGCAGUGGGGAAUAUUGCACAAUGGGCGCAAGCCUGAUGCAGCGACGCCGCGUGGGGGAUGACGGCCUUCGGGUUGUAAACUCCUUUCGCUAGGGACGAAGCGCAAGUGACGGUACCUGGAGAAGAAGCACCGGCUAACUACGUG
This 465-nucleotide ribosomal RNA is filed under the name uncultured bacterium. RNAcentral describes it as "partial 16S ribosomal RNA". It matches the Rfam family "Bacterial small subunit ribosomal RNA", at positions 28 to 507 of the family's 1533-position model. The record is from RNAcentral.